This is a long non-coding RNA of Nasonia vitripennis (jewel wasp), 292 nucleotides long. RefSeq lists it as uncharacterized. The transcript is spliced from 3 exons. NCBI's taxonomy places the organism in Eukaryota, Metazoa, Arthropoda, Insecta, Hymenoptera, Pteromalidae. The record is from RefSeq and is a predicted model, not a curated record.
UGCGCGAGGGCCCCCCUCUAUCAGCCAACCAGACCAGCCAGCGCCCGCCGACCAACCGGGGGCGUCCCCGCCGUCGCUCCAGCUAUCCGCCUUGGAGAAGUACGAACUGCUGUUUCGUCCGCGAGUGUUUGGAUUACGGCUCUUUACGACUGCGGGACGAUUUUGGCGAACUGCUCCAGUGCUUGGAUCACUUACGUUUAAACGAGACACAGAGAGGCGCGGAGCCGAGAGUGCAAUACACUGCAGCCGGCUGAUAGAGUGCUAUAUAGCGAGUAGCUAAAGCCGAGCUAAU